Molecule: ribosomal RNA, 1780 nt
Filed under: Salmonella enterica
Lineage: Bacteria; Pseudomonadati; Pseudomonadota; Gammaproteobacteria; Enterobacterales; Enterobacteriaceae
Description: partial 23S ribosomal RNA
Rfam family: Bacterial large subunit ribosomal RNA
Source: RNAcentral
AGACCCGAAACCCGGUGAUCUAGCCAUGGGCAGGUUGAAGGUUGGGUAACACUAACUGGAGGACCGAACCGACUAAUGUUGAAAAAUUAGCGGAUGACCUGUGGCUGGGGGUGAAAGGCCAAUCAAACCGGGAGAUAGCUGGUUCUCCCCGAAAGCUAUUUAGGUAGCGCCUCGUGAAUUCAUCUCCGGGGGUAGAGCACUGUUUCGGCUAGGGGGUCAUCCCGACUUACCAACCCGAUGCAAACUGCGAAUACCGGAGAAUGUUAUCACGGGAGACACACGGCGGGUGCUAACGUCCGUCGUGAAGAGGGAAACAACCCAGACCGCCAGCUAAGGUCCCAAAGUCAUGGUUAAGUGGGAAACGAUGUGGGAAGGCCCAGACAGCCAGGAUGUUGGCUUAGAAGCAGCCAUCAUUUAAAGAAAGCGUAAUAGCUCACUGGUCGAGUCGGCCUGCGCGGAAGAUGUAACGGGGCUAAACCAUGCACCGAAGCUGCGGCAGCGACACUCAGGUGUUGUUGGGUAGGGGAGCGUUCUGUAAGCCUGCGAAGGUGGCCUGUGAGGGUUGCUGGAGGUAUCAGAAGUGCGAAUGCUGACAUAAGUAACGAUAAAGCGGGUGAAAAGCCCGCUCGCCGGAAGACCAAGGGUUCCUGUCCAACGUUAAUCGGGGCAGGGUGAGUCGACCCCUAAGGCGAGGCCGAAAGGCGUAGUCGAUGGGAAACGGGUUAAUAUUCCCGUACUUGGUGUUACUGCGAAGGGGGGACGGAGAAGGCUAUGUUGGCCGGGCGACGGUUGUCCCGGUUUAAGCGUGUAGGUGUGUGUUCCAGGUAAAUCCGGUUCACUUUAACACUGAGGCGUGAUGACGAGGCACUACGGUGCUGAAGCAACAAAUGCCCUGCUUCCAGGAAAAGCCUCUAAGCAUCAGGUAACAUCAAAUCGUACCCCAAACCGACACAGGUGGUCAGGUAGAGAAUACCAAGGCGCUUGAGAGAACUCGGGUGAAGGAACUAGGCAAAAUGGUGCCGUAACUUCGGGAGAAGGCACGCUGACACGUAGGUGAAGUGAUUUACUCAUGGAGCUGAAGUCAGUCGAAGAUACCAGCUGGCUGCAACUGUUUAUUAAAAACACAGCACUGUGCAAACACGAAAGUGGACGUAUACGGUGUGACGCCUGCCCGGUGCCGGAAGGUUAAUUGAUGGGGUCAGCGCAAGCGAAGCUCCUGAUCGAAGCCCCGGUAAACGGCGGCCGUAACUAUAACGGUCCUAAGGUAGCGAAAUUCCUUGUCGGGUAAGUUCCGACCUGCACGAAUGGCGUAAUGAUGGCCAGGCUGUCUCCACCCGAGACUCAGUGAAAUUGAACUCGCUGUGAAGAUGCAGUGUACCCGCGGCAAGACGGAAAGACCCCGUGAACCUUUACUAUAGCUUGACACUGAACAUUGAGCCUUGAUGUGUAGGAUAGGUGGGAGGCUUUGAAGCGUGGACGCCAGUCUGCGUGGAGCCGACCUUGAAAUACCACCCUUUAAUGUUUGAUGUUCUAACGUGGACCCGUGAUCCGGGUUGCGGACAGUGUCUGGUGGGUAGUUUGACUGGGGCGGUCUCCUCCUAAAGAGUAACGGAGGAGCACGAAGGUUGGCUAAUCCUGGUCGGACAUCAGGAGGUUAGUGCAAUGGCAUAAGCCAGCUUGACUGCGAGCGUGACGGCGCGAGCAGGUGCGAAAGCAGGUCAUAGUGAUCCGGUGGUUCUGAAUGGAAGGGCCAUCGCUCAACGGAUAAAAGGUACUCCGG